CGGGUCGUAGCUUAAUCGGUAGAGCACGGCAAAAGCGUUGCCGAGGAUCUGGUUCGAAUCCAGACGACCCGACCA
RNAcentral lists this transfer RNA (75 nucleotides) under Streptomyces sp. PsTaAH-130. Its description in RNAcentral is "tRNA-Ala". It matches the Rfam family "tRNA". Rfam says of the family: Transfer RNA (tRNA) molecules are approximately 80 nucleotides in length. Their secondary structure includes four short double-helical elements and three loops (D, anti-codon, and T loops). Further hydrogen bonds mediate the characteristic L-shaped molecular structure. tRNAs have two regions of fundamental functional importance: the anti-codon, which is responsible for specific mRNA codon recognition, and the 3' end, to which the tRNAs corresponding amino acid is attached (by aminoacyl-tRNA synthetases). tRNAs cope with the degeneracy of the genetic code in two manners: having more than one tRNA (with a specific anti-codon) for a particular amino acid; and 'wobble' base-pairing, i.e. permitting non-standard base-pairing at the 3rd anti-codon position. The record is from RNAcentral. RNAcentral also lists the same sequence under 2 other names. Lineage: Bacteria; Bacillati; Actinomycetota; Actinomycetes; Kitasatosporales; Streptomycetaceae.